AAGUCGUAACAAGGUUUCCGUAGGUGAACCUGCGGAAGGAUCAUUACCACAUCCAAAAUCUUUCCACCCACCUUGUGCACUCUGGACUUUACUGCCGGGGGCCGGAGAGCGAGAGUCUGCUCUCGCUCUCUCCCCCGGCAGUGAAUCUCCACAUACAUACAAAAAAACACACAACCAACCAACCCCACUGUGAAAACCAAUUGAACAACCAAAAAACGAAACUUGAGAGACAACUUUUAACGAUGGAUCUCUUGGCUCGU
RNAcentral lists this unclassified non-coding RNA (260 nucleotides) under fungal sp. RNAcentral's name for it is "partial internal transcribed spacer region". The stretch from base 1 to 46 matches the Rfam family "Eukaryotic small subunit ribosomal RNA", at positions 1786 to 1831 of the family's 1831-position model. The record is from RNAcentral. Lineage: Eukaryota; Fungi.